AACAAUUUAAAAUUUAUUUAAUAAAUAUUGGAAAAUUUCUUUAAUUCUUG
RNAcentral lists this transfer RNA (50 nucleotides) under Lichtheimia hongkongensis. RNAcentral's name for it is "tRNA-Ile". The record is from RNAcentral. Lineage: Eukaryota; Fungi; Mucoromycota; Mucoromycetes; Mucorales; Lichtheimiaceae.